GCAAGUCGAACGGGCCCUUCGGGGUCAGUGGCAGACGGGUGAGUAACGCGUGGGAACGUGCCCAUCGGUUCGGAAUAACCCAGGGAAACUUGGGCUAAUACCGGAUACGCCCUUUUUGGGGAAAGAUUUAUCGCCGAUGGAUCGGCCCGCGUCCGAUUAGCUAGUUGGUGAGGUAAAGGCUCACCAAGGCGACGAUCGGUAGCUGGUCUGAGAGGAUGAUC
RNAcentral lists this ribosomal RNA (221 nucleotides) under uncultured bacterium. RNAcentral describes it as "partial 16S ribosomal RNA". It matches the Rfam family "Bacterial small subunit ribosomal RNA", at positions 57 to 305 of the family's 1533-position model. The record is from RNAcentral.